GUAAGCCAGUGAUGUGAUGUUAUCCCUGUCUGAAAACUCAGCCGUGAGGGGAAAAACAAAUAUUCUGAGGCUUUU
RNAcentral lists this small nucleolar RNA (75 nucleotides) under Chrysemys picta bellii (western painted turtle). RNAcentral's name for it is "Small nucleolar RNA R38 (ENSCPBG00000027988.1)". Lineage: Eukaryota; Metazoa; Chordata; Testudines; Emydidae. The record is from RNAcentral.